AGUGAUGUGCCUGAUAUAAAGGGUUAUCGUGAUAGGAUAAAUAAUGUAAUUUUAUUACCACCACUA
Molecule: transfer RNA, 66 nt
Filed under: Brephallus tramlapensis
Lineage: Eukaryota; Metazoa; Arthropoda; Insecta; Blattodea; Blaberidae
Description: tRNA-Ile
Source: RNAcentral